Molecule: ribosomal RNA, 693 nt
Filed under: Astrosphaeriella stellata
Lineage: Eukaryota; Fungi; Ascomycota; Dothideomycetes; Pleosporales; Astrosphaeriellaceae
Description: bacterial SSU rRNA
Rfam family: Eukaryotic small subunit ribosomal RNA
Source: RNAcentral
UAAUUAUACUGUGAAACUGCUGAAUGGCUCAUUAAAUCAGUUAUCGUUCUAUUUGAUAGUACCUUACUACUUGGAUAACCGUGGUAAUUCUAGAGCUAAUAUAUGCUAAAAACCCCGACUCCGGGAGGGGUGUAUUUAUUAGAUAAAAAACUAAUGCCCUUCGGGGCUCCUUGGUGAUUCAUGAUAACUUAACGGAUUGUAUGGCCUUGCGCCGGCGACGGUUCAUUCAAAUUUCUGCCCUAUCAACUUUCGAUGGUAAGGUAUUGGCUUACUAUGGUUUUAAUGGGUAACGGGAGAUUAGGGUUUGACUCCGGAGAGGGGGUCUGAGAAACGGCUACUAUAUCUAAGGAAGGUAGUAGGCGUGUAAAUUACCCAUCCCCGACACGGGGAGGUAGUGAUAAUAAAUACUGAUAUAGGGCUCUUUCGGGUCUUGUAAUUGAAAUGAGUACAAUUUAAACCCCUUAAUGAGAAACAAUAGGGAUAGUCGGGGGUAUUAGUAUUCAAUUUUUAGAGGUGAAAUUCUUGGAUUUAUUGAAGACUAACUACUGCGAAAGUAUUUGCCAAGGAUGUUUUUAUUAAUUAGUGAACGAAAGUUAGGGGAUUGAAGGAUGAUCAGAUACCGUCUGUAGUCUUAACCGUAAACUAUGCCGACUAGGGAUUUGGGCGAUGUUACUAUUUUGACUCGCUCGGUAC